GACGAACGCUGGCGGCGUGCUUAACACAUGCAAGUCGAACGGAAAGGCCCUGCUUUUGUGGGGUGCUCGAGUGGCGAACGGGUGAGUAACACGUGAGUAACCUGCCCUUGACUUUGGGAUAACUUCAGGAAACUGGGGCUAAUACCGGAUAGGAGCUCCUGCUGCAUGGUGGGGGUUGGAAAGUUUCGGCGGUUGGGGAUGGACUCGCGGCUGAUCAGCUUGUUGGUGGGGUAGUGGCUUACCAAGGCGUUGACGGGUAGCCGGCCUGAGAGGGUGACCGGCCAAAUUGGUACGGGAGGAAGCCGUGGGGACCUGUGGGGGAUGGCAGUGGGCAUGAUGGAGCAAUGGGGGGAGGCCGAAGACGGCAGCGCGGCGGGCGGGAUGAGGGCUUUGGGGUGGAAAACCGCUUUCGCCUGUGAGGAGGGGGGGGUGGCGGUGAAGGAAAAAGAACCGCCGGAAAACGUC
This 465-nucleotide ribosomal RNA is filed under the name uncultured bacterium. Its description in RNAcentral is "partial 16S ribosomal RNA". It matches the Rfam family "Bacterial small subunit ribosomal RNA", at positions 28 to 504 of the family's 1533-position model. The record is from RNAcentral.